RNAcentral lists this RNase P RNA (343 nucleotides) under bovine gut metagenome. RNAcentral's name for it is "Bacterial RNase P class A". It matches the Rfam family "Bacterial RNase P class A". From Rfam's summary of the family: Ribonuclease P (RNase P) is a ubiquitous endoribonuclease, found in archaea, bacteria and eukarya as well as chloroplasts and mitochondria. Its best characterised activity is the generation of mature 5'-ends of tRNAs by cleaving the 5'-leader elements of precursor-tRNAs. The record is from RNAcentral.
GUGGGAUAAACAGUCGCGGAUGCAGUGCCGAAAGGCCGCACCCGAGGAAAGUCCGGGCUCCUCAGGGCAGGAUAACGGCUAACGGCCGCCGGGGGUGACCCCAGGGAAAGUGCAACAGAAAUAAACCGCCUGCAUUAUAUGCAGGUAAGGAUGGAAAGGCGAGGUAAGAGCUCACCGGCAUACAGGAGACUGUGUGGCCAUGUAAACCCUAUCCGGAGCAACACCGCAGCGAAGUGUAUUCAUCGGCCCGAUGGCUUCAGCAGGUGGCAUUGAGCAGUACCGGCAACGGGCUGCCAAGAUAGAUGGCUGUUCACGACAGAACCCGGCUUAUCGUCUCACUCAU